GUCCAGACUCCUACGGGAGGCAGCAGUGGGGAAUAUUGCACAAUGGGGGAAACCCUGAUGCAGCAACGCCGCGUGAGUGAAGAAGUAUUUCGGUAUGUAAAGCUCUAUCAGCAGGGAAGAAGAAGGACGGUACCUGACUAAGAAGCCCCGGCUAACUACGUGCCAGCAGCCGCGGUAAUACGUAGGGGGCAAGCGUUAUCCGGAUUUACUGGGUGUAAAGGGAGCGUAGACGGCAGCACAAGUCUGGAGUGAAAAGGCGGGGGCUAAACCCGGGAAUUCUUUGGAAACUGUGCAGCUAGAGUGCAGGAGAGGUAAGUGGAAUUCCUAGUGUAGCGGUGAAAUGCGUAGAUAUUAGGAGGAACACCAGUCGCGAAGGCGGCUUACUGGACUGUAACUGACGUUGAGGCUCGAAAGCGUGGGGAGCAAACAGGAUUAGAUACCCUCGUAAA
RNAcentral lists this ribosomal RNA (449 nucleotides) under uncultured bacterium. RNAcentral describes it as "bacterial SSU rRNA". It matches the Rfam family "Bacterial small subunit ribosomal RNA", at positions 329 to 794 of the family's 1533-position model. The record is from RNAcentral.